UACAGAGGGUGCGAGCGUUAAUCGGAAUUACUGGGCGUAAAGCGCACGUAGUCGGCUUUGCAAGUCGGUUGUGAAAUCCCCGGGCUCAACCUGGGAACUGCAUCCGAGACUGCAUUGCUAGAGUAUGGGAGAGGAAAGCGGAAUUUCUGGUGUAGCAGUGAAAUGCGUAGAUAUCAGAAGGAACAUCAGUGGCGAAGGCGGCUUUCUGGACCAAUACCGACGAUCAGGUGCGAAAGCGUGGGGAGCAAACAGG
RNAcentral lists this ribosomal RNA (253 nucleotides) under uncultured bacterium. RNAcentral describes it as "partial 16S ribosomal RNA". It matches the Rfam family "Bacterial small subunit ribosomal RNA", at positions 524 to 776 of the family's 1533-position model. The record is from RNAcentral.